UAGGGAAUCUUCGGCAAUGGACGAAAGUCUGACCGAGCAACGCCGCGUGAGUGAAGAAGGUUUUCGGAUCGUAAAACUCUGUUGUUAGAGAAGAACAAGGACGUUAGUAACUGAACGUCCCCUGACGGUAUCUAACCAGAAAGCCACGGCUAACUACUUGCCAGCAGCCGCGGUAAUACGUAGGUGGCAAGCGUUGUCCGGAUUUAUUGGGCGUAAAGCGAGCGCAGGCGGUUUCUUAAGUCUGAUGUGAAAUCCCCCGGCUAAAGCGGGGAGGGGCAUUGGAAACUGGGAGACUUGAGUGCAGAAGAGGAGAGUGGAAUUCCAUGUGUAGCGGGGAAAUGCGUAGAUAUAUGGAGGAACACAAGUGGCGAGGGCGGCUCUCUGGUCUGUAACUGACGCUGAGGCUCGAAAGCGUGGGGAGCAAACAGG
RNAcentral lists this ribosomal RNA (429 nucleotides) under Gemmatimonadota bacterium. RNAcentral's name for it is "Gemmatimonadetes bacterium partial 16S ribosomal RNA". It matches the Rfam family "Bacterial small subunit ribosomal RNA", at positions 355 to 776 of the family's 1533-position model. The record is from RNAcentral. Lineage: Bacteria; Pseudomonadati; Gemmatimonadota.